This 1368-nucleotide ribosomal RNA is filed under the name Leuconostoc citreum. RNAcentral describes it as "bacterial SSU rRNA". It matches the Rfam family "Bacterial small subunit ribosomal RNA", at positions 106 to 1462 of the family's 1533-position model. Lineage: Bacteria; Bacillati; Bacillota; Bacilli; Lactobacillales; Lactobacillaceae. The record is from RNAcentral.
GUGAGUAACACGUGGAUAACCUGCCUCAAGGCUGGGGAUAACAUUUGGAAACAGAUGCUAAUACCGAAUAAAACUUAGUAUCGCAUGAUAUCAAGUUAAAAGGCGCUACGGCGUCACCUAGAGAUGGAUCCGCGGUGCAUUAGUUAGUUGGUGGGGUAAAGGCUUACCAAGACAAUGAUGCAUAGCCGAGUUGAGAGACUGAUCGGCCACAUUGGGACUGAGACACGGCCCAAACUCCUACGGGAGGCUGCAGUAGGGAAUCUUCCACAAUGGGCGCAAGCCUGAUGGAGCAACGCCGCGUGUGUGAUGAAGGCUUUCGGGUCGUAAAGCACUGUUGUAUGGGAAGAAAUGCUAAAAUAGGGAAUGAUUUUAGUUUGACGGUACCAUACCAGAAAGGGACGGCUAAAUACGUGCCAGCAGCCGCGGUAAUACGUAUGUCCCGAGCGUUAUCCGGAUUUAUUGGGCGUAAAGCGAGCGCAGACGGUUGAUUAAGUCUGAUGUGAAAGCCCGGAGCUCAACUCCGGAAUGGCAUUGGAAACUGGUUAACUUGAGUGUUGUAGAGGUAAGUGGAACUCCAUGUGUAGCGGUGGAAUGCGUAGAUAUAUGGAAGAACACCAGUGGCGAAGGCGGCUUACUGGACAACAACUGACGUUGAGGCUCGAAAGUGUGGGUAGCAAACAGGAUUAGAUACCCUGGUAGUCCACACCGUAAACGAUGAAUACUAGGUGUUAGGAGGUUUCCGCCUCUUAGUGCCGAAGCUAACGCAUUAAGUAUUCCGCCUGGGGAGUACGACCGCAAGGUUGAAACUCAAAGGAAUUGACGGGGACCCGCACAAGCGGUGGAGCAUGUGGUUUAAUUCGAAGCAACGCGAAGAACCUUACCAGGUCUUGACAUCCUUUGAAGCUUUUAGAGAUAGAAGUGUUCUCUUCGGAGACAAAGUGACAGGUGGUGCAUGGUCGUCGUCAGCUCGUGUCGUGAGAUGUUGGGUUAAGUCCCGCAACGAGCGCAACCCUUAUUGUUAGUUGCCAGCAUUCAGUUGGGCACUCUAGCGAGACUGCCGGUGACAAACCGGAGGAAGGCGGGGACGACGUCAGAUCAUCAUGCCCCUUAUGACCUGGGCUACACACGUGCUACAAUGGCGUAUACAACGAGUUGCCAACCUGCGAAGGUGAGCUAAUCUCUUAAAGUACGUCUCAGUUCGGACUGCAGUCUGCAACUCGACUGCACGAAGUCGGAAUCGCUAGUAAUCGCGGAUCAGCACGCCGCGGUGAAUACGUUCCCGGGUCUUGUACACACCGCCCGUCACACCAUGGGAGUUUGUAAUGCCCAAAGCCGGUGGCCUAACCUUCGGGAGGGAGCCGUCUAAGG